Long non-coding RNA from Pomacea canaliculata, 565 nucleotides. RefSeq lists it as uncharacterized. The record is from RefSeq and is a predicted model, not a curated record. NCBI's taxonomy places the organism in Eukaryota, Metazoa, Mollusca, Gastropoda, Architaenioglossa, Ampullariidae. The transcript has 4 exons.
GAAGACUGACAGUUUGUUGAGGUCGCUGUUCAGUCAUUCGCCAGCAUUCGGAGCCAUACAGUAGAGUGGACAUGACCAGACUCUGGUAAAGUCUCAGCUUGGUAUUGAUGUUGUACUGUGUCAACUUCCAGAUGUUGCUUAGGCUACAGAAGAUGCCCCUGGCUUUGCUCAGUCUGCUCUGGAUUUAAGCUUUAACUGGGGGCACAACAAGACCCAGAACCAAACUUUGAUCUGUCAGAAUGUGAAUUACAGGAGGUUCCUUCUGGCGUUUAUGCAAUCUGCAAGGUGCUCCAAAAAGAGGCUUUUUUUCUACACAGCAACUGGCUCAGCUCACUAAAUGGAGGUGGAAUUCUUUCAGACCUCUUCUUGCUAAGGGUGAGACAUUGAGACAUACUUAUUAGCUCUUCCAGUGCAGUUCACACCUGAGAAUGCGAACAUCUUCAUGGCUGUAGCUCAGUUGCUUGGAUAACCGAUAAUAAAUGAGUUUAAGAGAACAUCUGCUUAGAAAUUUUUAACUGAUCAUCAGUUAAUAGUAACAGAUUUGUUAUGACAUGCCUGUCCCUCA